GACGAACGCUGGCGGCGUGCUUAACACAUGCAAGUCGAACGGAAAGGCCCUGCUUUUGUUGGGUGCUCGAGUGGCGAACUGGUGAGUAACACGUUAGUAACCUGCCCUUGACUUUGGGAUAACUUCAGGAAACUGGGGCUAAUACCGGAUAGGAGCUCCUGCUGCAUGGUGGGGGUCGGAAAGUUUCGGCGGUUGGGGAUGGACUCGCGGCUUAUCUGCUUGUUGGUGGGGUAGUGGCUUACCAAGGCUUUGACGGGUAGCCGGCCUGAGAGGGUGACCGGCCAAAUGGGGACUGAGAUACGGCACAGACUCCUACGGGAGGCAGCAGUGUGGAAUAUUGCACAAUGGGCGGAAGCCUGAUGCAGCAACGCCGCGUGCGGGAUGACGGACUUCGGGUUGUAAACCGCUUUCGCCUGUGACGAAGCGUGAGUGACGGUAAUGGGUAAAGAAGCACCGGCUAACUACGUG
This 468-nucleotide ribosomal RNA is filed under the name uncultured bacterium. Its description in RNAcentral is "partial 16S ribosomal RNA". It matches the Rfam family "Bacterial small subunit ribosomal RNA", at positions 28 to 507 of the family's 1533-position model. The record is from RNAcentral.